Molecule: ribosomal RNA, 372 nt
Filed under: uncultured organism
Description: partial 16S ribosomal RNA
Rfam family: Bacterial small subunit ribosomal RNA
Source: RNAcentral
GUAGGUGGCAAGCGUUGUCCGGAAUUAUUGGGCGUAAAGCGCGCGCAGGUGGUUCCUUAAGUCUGAUGUGAAAGCCCCCGGGCUCAACCGGGGAGGGUCAUUGGAAACUGGGGAACUUGAGUGCAGGAGAGGAAAGUGGAAUUCCACGUGUAGCGGUGAAAUGCGUAGAUAUGUGGAGGAACACCAGUGGCGAAGGCGACUUUCUGGCCUGUAACUGACACUGAGGCGCGAAAGCGUGGGGAGCAAACAGGAUUAGAUACCCUGGUAGUCCACGCCGUAAACGAUGAGUGCUAAGUGUUGGGGGGUCUCCGCCCCUCAGUGCUGCAGCUAACGCAUUAAGCACUCCGCCUGGGGAGUACGGUCGCAAGACUG